Molecule: long non-coding RNA, 614 nt
Organism: Xyrauchen texanus (razorback sucker)
Lineage: Eukaryota; Metazoa; Chordata; Actinopteri; Cypriniformes; Catostomidae
Exons: 3
Source: RefSeq, a predicted model, not a curated record
CAAGAACUCUGCAGUGACUGCAUUUAGAUUGUGUGUAGCUUCCUGUUCACAAGGAAAGUGUGAGAGGGCAGUCUGCAUUUGGACAUUCUGAGAUGGAUAGAGACUAUGGCUCCAUGCUCAGCACCCUCAAGAGGAGGAGGCAGCUGACUGCUGAUGAGCUUAUGUUCAUAGCAUAGGCGGAAAAGGCUCAUGAGGUCAUGCGCACACAGGAGGAAGAUCUGCUUGACCAGGAACUACUGCAGGAACACCCGGACCUCGAGGAUAUGGAGGAUGAGAUGGAACCUGAUCCCCAGCCAAGACCAUCAACUGGGUAUGCAUGAAUGUUGAGAGUCGGGGAGAUAAAAAGACGGCCAGUUCUCAGAGAGAGGAGAGAGACAGACAGACCAGAGUUUUCGUGUUGUGUGAUGCUGAAAAGCAGACUAUUUAUUUGAGUAAAGCUGAAAAGAAGCCGUCUUGUGUUUUGAUUGAAGCUGUACAGCGAUUGCUGGUUAUUUGUGAAUAAAACGUACUCACAUGAACUAUUUGUUACAAUGUAAUUUUCAGGGAUGGAUAACAACACUGAAAAUGUAAUAAAAUGGCGCUGAAAUAAAGUAGCACUAUGUACAGGGCGCCGA